RNAcentral lists this small RNA (576 nucleotides) under Pongo abelii (Sumatran orangutan). RNAcentral describes it as "processed transcript". Lineage: Eukaryota; Metazoa; Chordata; Mammalia; Primates; Hominidae. The record is from RNAcentral.
UACUGACACAUUCACUCCAAGAGUCCUCCCAUCCUGCAGUGGGUUCCUCCAGGGAUGGAGUUUCCAGACAGUUUUGAAGCUGCUCUGGCCAUUCCGGGUUCCUCUCUCUCUUCCUAGUCUCCCCUGGCAUACCUUCUUCCCUACUGCACUUCCUCCCUUCCUCCUUCCUCUUCCCACUUUCAGCUCUUUCGAAGGAUAAUUUUUACUUUCUCUGCUCUCUUAGGAACUCCUGGAAGCAGGACAUGGAGCGGGGGAACCCAGAGUGGGCAUGUGCCAGUGGCCCCAUGAGCAGGAGCCUUCGGCCUCAGAGCCGCCCGCAAAUCAUUAAAGAAGUCCUGGCUGUCCCCAACUCCAUCCUGGAGCUCCCCUGCCCCCACCUGUCAGCCUUGGCCGCUUACUAUUGGAGUCAUGGCCCAGCAGCAGUCCCAGAAGCCUCUUCCACUGUCUACAAUGGCUCCCUCUUGCUGAUAGUGCAGGAUGGAGUUGGGGGUCUCUACCAGUGCUGGGCAACUGAGAAUGGCUUUUCAUACCCCGUGAUCUCCUACUGGGUGGACAGCCAGGACCAGACCCUGGCCC